AACUGAUACUACCUGCGGGAACCUGCGGAGGGAUCAUUACCAGUGCCGCCGGCGCGCGCUUCCCGUCCGGGGGCGCACGCCGGUUUGAGCCCCACCCGUGAACACUAUACCUCCGGUUGCCUCGGCGGGCCGUCACGCCCGCCGGGGGUGAACUGAACUUCGCAAGUGAACGUGGCCGUCUGAGUGGAAUUGUCAAAUUGUUUAAAACUUUCAACAAUGGAUCUCUAGAUCGGAAGAGCA
RNAcentral lists this unclassified non-coding RNA (240 nucleotides) under soil metagenome. RNAcentral describes it as "partial contains 5.8S ribosomal RNA, internal transcribed spacer 2, and large subunit ribosomal RNA". The record is from RNAcentral.